CAGGCACUGCAGGAGGAGAGUCGCUACCUACGGGCAGUCUUAGCCAACGAGACUGGACUGGCUCGCUUGCUGAGCCGGCUGAGCGGCGUGGGACUGCGGCUGACCACCUCGCUCUUCAGAGACUCGCCCGCCGGUGACCACGACUACGCUCUGCCGGUGGGAAAGCAGAAGCAGGACCUGCUGGAAGAGGACGACUCGGCGGGAGGAGUCUGUCUCCAUGUGGACAAGGAUAAGGUGUCGGUGGAGUUCUGCUCGGCGUGCGCCCGGAAGGCGUCGUCUUCUCUUAAAAUUUUCUUUUUUAGGUGAUUUCCUUCCUGCCAGGCUCCGUUGUAGGGGUUACAGAACAGUCGUUCCCGCCUCACAACCUGACUUGCGUGUACCUAGCUCUUCUGUCCCCAGUGUGGACAUGGCCUUGGAUGACAUCGGUUCCAACUGUACACUGAAACCUGCUUAUAGAGAGACAGUUUGGAGACAGUGAAACAGUGGAUACAGCUGUUGGGGCAGAAGAGACGGGACCAGCUGCUGGCCACAUUUCCUGCUUUAUUUUAAAAGUUAUGGGCUCAAAGAAUUUAUUCAUCUCUAACAUGAUAUUGGAAAAUAAUGGAUGAAAAUAGGAAAAAUGAUUGUUAAUGCUGACUGUGGGUCUUAAAAGGUUCUGGAAAGCACUUAGCAGUGUCUGCAAAAACGAAUCUUUUCCUACAACCUGUUAACUGACUGGACUGUUGGUAACAAAGUAAUUGUGAGAACCAUGUCGGUCAAAAAUUUGGCAUCUGCUGAAAAAAAUGAAUGCCAUUUUCAAGUUCCCAAAUUACUUCUAUACUGAUUUCACUUUCCAGAAAUGGAGAUAUGAAAAGAUUCUCUGGAAUCCUUGAAAGACUUAAUAGAGAUACAUGAGACUAAGUUAAUCUUGGAACAAAAUUAUACUUUU
Molecule: long non-coding RNA, 928 nt
Filed under: Homo sapiens (human)
Lineage: Eukaryota; Metazoa; Chordata; Mammalia; Primates; Hominidae
Description: HSALNT0179275
Source: RNAcentral